UAAAAGCACUAGGGAUGCCGUCAGUAGCGGCUGAGAUAAAUCUAUGGCGAUUUGGCCCCUUAGAACCUGUUAAGUUAGUACUUGCGUAGGGAAAGUGUUGGUUAAUAACU
Molecule: non-coding RNA, 110 nt
Filed under: Paucilactobacillus suebicus
Lineage: Bacteria; Bacillati; Bacillota; Bacilli; Lactobacillales; Lactobacillaceae
Description: Lactobacillus suebicus TPP sequence
Rfam family: TPP riboswitch aptamer (THI element)
About the family: Vitamin B(1) in its active form thiamin pyrophosphate (TPP) is an essential coenzyme that is synthesised by coupling of pyrimidine and thiazole moieties in bacteria. The previously detected thiamin-regulatory element, thi box was extended, resulting in a new, highly conserved RNA secondary structure, the THI element, which is widely distributed in eubacteria and also occurs in some archaea.
Source: RNAcentral